Canis lupus familiaris (dog) is the source of this 6059-nucleotide long non-coding RNA. RefSeq lists it as uncharacterized. The transcript is spliced from 3 exons. The record is from RefSeq and is a predicted model, not a curated record. NCBI's taxonomy places the organism in Eukaryota, Metazoa, Chordata, Mammalia, Carnivora, Canidae.
AACUAGGAAACAGGAUCAUAGAGGAAGAGAGGAAAAAAUAAGACAAAAUCAGAGAGGGAGACAAACCAUAAGAGACUCUUAAUCAUAGGAAACAAACUCAGUGUUGCUGGAGGGGAGGGUGGGAGGACAAGGUACUGGGUGAGGGGCAUUAAGCCUUAGGGCACAUGAUGUAAUGAGCAUUGGGUGUUAUAUAAGACUGAUGAAAUAUUGACCUCUACCUCUGAAACCAAUAAUAUGUUUAGUUUAAAUAAAAAUAAAGCCUAAUGUUGUGUUGAAAUGCUCCAUGUUUUCAUUGAUUUCACCUUUAAUGUCAUGUAAUUUUUAACAUAAUGGUCAUUUGGAAGUCUUUUUCUGUUAACUCCAUUUACUGAAUUAUCUCUGGGUCUGCUUCUGUCUGCUUUCUCUCUUGACUAUUGGUCACUUUUUUUUUCCGAUCUCCUAAUUUUACAUGCCAGACAAGGUGUUUUGAUACAUUGUAGAAGGGCUGGAUUAUGUUAUCUUCAAAGAAUGUUUAGUUUUUUUCUGGAAGAAUUUGUAUUACUAGCAGAUUAUCUUUAUUUUAAUCUUUGUUAGAGUGUUCUAUUCCAAUUUUGUCCUUAGUCCUAGGAUAUAGCCCUUGCUCCUAUGCAUGGUCUUUACUCACAGGACAUGGUUUUUCUGGGGUUUCAAUUCAAUGUUGAGGAUUUUCACCAAGGUCUCUAUAUUCUGGGUUGGAACUUCAGUGUCUGCCAGGACUCUUUUCUACUCUGUUUACCAUACUCUUGCCUUUACAUAAACAUCUCAGGAUAUGGUCAAGAACCUGAUGGGAACUUCUACAUAGUUUAGGGGCUACUUUUCUGUGGUUCAUUCUUUUUCAGUACUCUGCCUCCAAAUUUCAGUUAUAAUAGCAGAUUCAAAUUCUGAUCUUUAUUUUUUCUGGCCAGUAAGAUUGUUGGGUUCCACUUCUCAGAACAAGGGUUUGGAAAAAAUGCCUCUAGAGAGAAAAGUGGGAGUGAAUGUGGAGUUUAUCCCAUAUAUGCCUUCUCACAAGCAUCGCCGUCCUGCGCUAUUCACCAUCUAUUGCCUGAAAUCAAUUAUUUUAUGUAGAUGAUUUGGUUUUAUAGAGGGUAGGUUAGUCCAUUACCAGGUUUUUGAUAACGGAUGGAAUUGGACACCUUCAUUCAUUUUUAUAAAUGGGUAGCAAUACAAAUGUCUUUUCAUGACUUGAUAGCUCAUUUCUUUCUAGUGCUAAAUAAUCCAUUGUCUGGAUGCACCACAGUUUAUUUGCCAUUCCACUACUAAAGGGUAUCUUGGUUUCUUUCAGGUUUUGGCACUUAUGAAUAGAUCUGCUAAUGACAUCCACAUGCAAGUUUUUCUGUGGACAUAGGUUUCAAAUCCUUUAUUCUGACCAAGGACUGUGACUGCUGGAUCCUACAUGAAGAUGUUAGGAAAGCCAGCUAUGUCUCCUGCUCUUCAAAGUAGUGUGGCUCAUGAAGAAGAGGUUCUGUAGUGCCCUGCAGUGUGUGUCCUUUGUUCACCAGAAGCUGCUGCUUAAUUAAGAGGUUCUCCAGGCCUGGAGUGCUUGGUGUGAGCGUCUGGUACUCUUUCCUCUCCACAUUCAUGGCAUUCCUUCCUAUAGCUCCUGACCUUGUCUCUGCCUUGCCUACUUGUGUUGUGGGGUAGGGAAGGAUUUUUCCUCCUUUACAUUUAGCUAUGAAGAGUCCUGUCCUGCCAGUCUUUGGGUGGUUUUCUGGGUUAUUUACACUGAUGUGGGUGUUAUAUCUAGUUGUAUCCAUGGCAUGAGGUGAUCACGGGAGCCUCCUACUCCACCAUCUUCCCUGGAAGUCUACAGUGCUUAAUUUUCUCAUAUGGUAAAUCAGUCUUGCAUUUCUGGGAUGAAUUUUAUUUGGUCACUGUGCAUAAUCCUCUUAGUAUGUUACAGGAUUCAGUUUGCUAGUAUUUUGUUUUUGUGUCUUAAUUCUUAAUAGAUUCAGAUCUUGGUUAAAAAAAUAUUUAUUUGGCCCCUGGAAUCCAAACAGUUGUCUUUCUUGAGAUAAUUUCUCUGGUACUUCUCUAUCCCCAACGACUCCAAUGUAAUCCCAUAACACAGCAGGGAGCAUUUAUCCCAUUAUGUUUGUCACUCUUUCUGCUUACUGAGAAUAGACUGUAUUUCCACCGUAUGUUAGUAUCCAGCACAAUCCUUGACUAGUAUAGCUUGAGACUUCUGGGAAACAUAACCAACAGAUUUUUUUAAAAGAACAUGAACAAACAUGAAAAAGAUAUUAUAUAACAAAGACUGAUUAUAAGAGAGUGGCUGCGACAUAGAAGAAUAGUGUCAGGGAGGUUAAAAUAUCGAGUUAAGAUAUGAAUCAAUAUUGAUAACAAGACGUAACUUUUACUUCGCUAUACUCAAAAUGAAAAUAUAUCACAGAAUGUUUAAAUCUGUUCUUCUGGGAUUAUAUUACUAACAAUCAUCCUGAUGGAUGACAAAGAGCAGAAUCUCUCAGUUCUUAAGUUGCUUCUGUCUUUCUAUCAAAUAGUUUUCUUCUCUCUAGAAAGGGGAGAAUAAAUACUGGUAAGAGAAGACAGAAGUCAAAAGGCUCUGAAUGAGUUAUUUCUAGCUCCAGACAUAUUACAUCUCAAGUAAGGAAAGAAUUUACAUAUAAGAUCAGAAAACCACUGGCAAAAAAAUUUUUUUUAAGAAUUCAAGGAAGUGACUCUCUGCUCUCUCUGCUACUUGCCUAACUUGUCAUUUAAGACUGCAUCAUAAUUUAAGGAUCAAUUCCUUCAAGAAAACAUUCCCCGAGACUUCCAGGCUGGAUUUGAUCCUGUUCUCUGAACAGAGAAGUUUGUGCAUAUCAUUAUCACUCAGUCUAUCUAACUCUUAUUGAAAUGCACAUCAUGUUAUAGAACUUGGUUUCUAUGUUGUAGAGAAAGCGGUUGCCAAAAGAUCUUUUUCAUUUGAACUAACAACAUUAUGGAAAGAAAGAAACCUAUUCAAUAUGAAGAAGGGUUUGAUGGGCUAGGUUCUGUUUGGCCUUUUACCAUCUCUCAUUAGAGCUCCCUAAGUGGUGAGUCACUAAGGGUGGUCUGCAAAUGGCCAACAUCAGAACUGUCUGAAGUAACUUACAAAAAAUGUAGAUUCAGAAGCUGACAACAAAGACUAGCUCAGAAUCAGAAGCUGGGGUUGCCAUAAACUUCCCAGGUAAUUCUCCUGUGUAUUAAAACUUUAAAAUCAAACAUUCUACAAGACAAUGGGGCCCAUGAUCUUCAAAAAUGCCAAGCCUGUGCAUGAUGAAGGCUGAGUGGCUAUUCCAAAUUGAAAGAGAAUAAAGAGAUAUGGUAUUUAAAUGUGAUUUUUGCUUUAAAGGACAUUAUUGUUACAUUAUUGUAAUACGAUAUAAAAUAGUAUUGUAUCAAAGUUGAAUUUCCUGAUUUUAAUGUAAGACAGUGUUCUUAUUCUUGGAAAAUAUAUGUUGAAGUUGCUGAGGAAUAAGGACAUAUGAUGUCUGCAAAAAAAAAAUGGAUUGGGGAAAUAUUAGAUAGGCAGAUAGAGUUCUUCAUACUAUUCCUGAAAUUAUUUCAAAACUAGAAGUUAAACUUUUGUAGGCUUUCUCUUUUUAAGUUUUAGGACCAUGCCAACUUCAACCACUGUUAGGAAACUAGGAAUUACUGAAAGGUUUUGGGUAGUUGUUUUACCUAAUCUGAUUGGUGUUUUCGAUCACUUUUGUGGUAGUAUGAAAGGUGAAAUUAGGAUGACAAUAUUGGUGGCAAGGAAGGCAAUUAGAAAUCUCCCUGUAAAUAUAUAAGAAUCUGAAAAGGAUGAUGACAGUUAAAAUGGAGAUAAAGAGAUUAUGAGGUAAAAUCCACUGGAUUCAGUGGUUGACUGGAUCUCAGGGAUGGAAAUGGAAGGAGAAAAAUAUGUUAACUCAUGUUUAUAGCUUGAAAUGGAUGGUUAUGUAGAUAGUACUGAUACCAAGGUUGUAGAGAGAAUACAGGAGGAACAGCAUUUAGUGUAGAAUUAGGUGAAAUUGAAUUUGGAUAUGUGGGACAUCUCUGUGGAAAUGUUUAGGAGAUAAUUACAUAUAAGUCUAAAGCUUUGUCAAAAGGUCAACUGUAUAAUACAGAUAUUUCCAUCUGAAUAUGCAUACACAUAAAUAUAGAGCACAACAAUACUUCAUACUUAAGAUAAACAGUUCAUGAAAGGCUGAAUCUAAGAUGACUUAACAGGAAUAAAUUUAAGGCCCAAGACAUUGAACCAAAAUACCAAUUGGAGAAGUAGAAGAUGGAGACACCCUGUAGCAGCACAAUGAAAACAAAACUUUAUGGGUUUGAGUAUACAUAAACCCAAUUUAUCAAUAUUUUAGGAAAGUUUCCAAGAGAACAAAUGCAACCUUAGGCUGCAUUAAUGGAAAUCUAGUAUCAAGAAAGAAACAAAUGAGAGUGAUGAUUUAUUGUACGCUCACUAGCUGACAUCCGUAAUACUGUGUUUGGUUUCACUCAAGCUUGAACAGUGACAGAAAUGAAUUGGGUGGUAAAGGACUUGACUCAUCCUGUACUGUGGGUGAUUGAAAGAAACGGAAGGAAAGUUUCAGGGAAUACACGAUAGCUUUAAAAAAAUACUUCAGAUAUAUCAUGUGGAAGGGGCAUUACAUUUGUUCUCAUUUUUUUCAAGGAGAAUCAGGGAAAAGGAGUCUGUCAAAAAUGUUUACUUUUCAGGUUAUUUCAUUUUUUGUUUUGUGUAAUUAAAGAAGUGGAUGAAAUUUACAGACACAAAUGUUUUUAACUCAACAUAAAAAGAACAUUUUUAAUGCUAAAGCUCUGUCAAUGGAAUGAACUGUCUGGCAAUUAAACUACUUAAAAAAAAAAAAAAGUAAACUACUUGUCACCAAGCGUAGUCAAUCUAAGGUUGAAUGAGGCUGGAUCCUAUAAUAUAGGUGAGGCUAGAUGACUCAUCAAAGUUUCUCUCUUCUUUAGAAUUCAUGAGAUGAAAAUGAAGAGAUGAGACAAUGAGAUGGGUACUCUUUUUUUUUUUUUUUUUUUUUUACUAGAUAAAAUGACAAGAAAGCAAUUUGAUAUAUAAAUAAUUUCUACUGGCUUCCUAUAUGAAUUUCUAGAGCUAGAGAGAAAAAUAAAAAUUUGAGAUUCACAAUUUCUGGGAAGGUGAAUAUGCUCCUUGGCUAUCAGUUUGAAGAUAAUCUAGUUUCUUACAUGAAGAUCUUGAUCAGAUACAUAAGGUUAAGUAACUCACAUUUAGGUGACUUGUGAGCGCUCAUUACUGUCUAUAUUCCUAGUUUACUCACCCAAACCUUGAUUAGGGAAUGGUCUUCUGAAAUAGUCAAAUAUACAAUCAUCUGAUAUAUUUGGCUUUAUAUCUAGAAAAGAUGAUAAAAGAUCAUUAGUAGCAUGAAAAUAAUUUGAGGCUUUUAUACUUCCUAUUUUUUAUAUUUUGUAAACAAAAAUGGCUAGAAGAUAGCAUGUAAAUAGUUUAGCUCAAAUGAAUUAAAAACAACAGUCCUCAAAUAUGAAUUUGUGUUGCAUUUUUGCUAUUUAUUGCAAAAAUCGAAAAAAUGUUCAUACCCUCUGGAACAGCAUUUCCUUUCUAGGAAUCUAUCAUAAAUAAGAAUAUAUACAGAGUUAUAAGGUGUUCAUUAUUGUUUCUAACAGAAAAAAAUAAGCAAAAUCCAAGUUUAAUAAUGGAGGUAGUUAAAUUUAAGGUUCACUAAUACAAUGGAAUACUUUGCCACCAUUUAUUAACAUGUAAAGAAAUUUAUAAUACACUGUAAUUUUAAAUGAAAACAUAGGUUGCAAAAUAACAUGAAUAUUCUGUGAUUAACAAGGAGUUAUAUAUGCUCAGAUGUAGAAAAGGUCUAAAAUAAAUAUUCUAAAAUGUGCUUUUCAGUUUUAAUAACAGAAGAAUAUGUUAAAGUUAUAUAUAAAAAGUGAUUUUCUUGGAUGAUCACUAUGAGAAAGAGUAGUUAAAUUUCAAGUCAAUUAACCAUAUUAGUUAUGGUUAGAAUUUUCCCCUUUCUUUGGUGUGGUUCUUUUUUUUUCUCUUUUAAAGAUUUUAUUUAUUUAUU